This 253-nucleotide ribosomal RNA is filed under the name uncultured bacterium. RNAcentral's name for it is "partial 16S ribosomal RNA". It matches the Rfam family "Bacterial small subunit ribosomal RNA", at positions 524 to 776 of the family's 1533-position model. The record is from RNAcentral.
GACGGAGGAGGCAAGCGUUAUCCGGAAUUAUUGGGCGUAAAGCGUCCGCAGGUGGCGAUUCAAGUCUGCUGUCAAAGGUCGGGGCUUAACCCCGGGAAGGCAGUGGAAACUGAAUAGCUAGAGUGCGGUAGGGGCAGAGGGAAUUCCCGGUGUAGCGGUGAAAUGCGUAGAGAUCGGGAAGAACACCAGUGGCGAAGGCGCUCUGCUGGGCCUGCACUGACAAUGAGGGACGAAAGAUAGGGGAGCGAAAGGG